GAAAAUGGCUCAGUAGACUGUGACCCUUGUCUCUAGAUAAAGAAGGAUUCUGUGGAGGGUCACAGUAAGCCUCUGAGGCUAGUGAAAUCUGCCAGGAAACACGGGAUCUACGGAGGCAAGGACAAAGCUUUGUCACAAUACAAAGAUAUCAAAAU
Molecule: long non-coding RNA, 155 nt
Organism: Chelonia mydas (Green sea turtle)
Lineage: Eukaryota; Metazoa; Chordata; Testudines; Cheloniidae
Exons: 3
Source: RefSeq, a predicted model, not a curated record